Molecule: long non-coding RNA, 1312 nt
Organism: Patella vulgata (common limpet)
Lineage: Eukaryota; Metazoa; Mollusca; Gastropoda; Patellidae
Exons: 4
Source: RefSeq, a predicted model, not a curated record
CUGCACAAUACUGGAUCUUCAAUGAGUUACUUUCUAUUUUUCACUCGGCAACCGGCUGCAGAUUUCACUCGGCCAACUUCGGUUACUCCUCUACACCAAACCAUGUUUCCAAACAGAGUUAUCUUUCCGUGACCCGCAAAUUAUAUUUUUAACAAUGAGUUGAAUUCUAUAGGAGGUGUUGGAACUGCACAAUACUGGAUCUUCAAUGAGUUACUUUCUAUUUUUCACUCGGCAACCGGCUGCAGAUUUCACUCGGCCAACUUCGGUUACUCCUCUACACCAAACCAUGUUUCCAAACAGAGUUAUCUUUCCGUGACCCGCAAAUUAUAUUUUUAACUGGUUUGCUUUUGGCGCAAUAUUCUGAUGUUUAGGCUAACACUGUUUUUAACGGCGUCAGCUUCUUAUAUUUAUUGGGCUACAAACACUAAACAGUUGUCUUUUAUUUUCUGAGGAGAUUUUCUGACCUUGGUAAUGUAAAUGAAGUUUGUUACUUUAUAGUAGGCUAGUAUUUGACUAAAACUGCAUAAAUCAAAUCUUAAUCAUAGAUGUACCGAUUGUAAAUAUUUUUUUUUGCUGACAAAGUCUUUUCUAACUUUUGGGGUAAGACUACUAACUAAGUAGCCUACAUUGAAAUUAGUGCUAGUACAGUAGAAGUGGUCUUGGCGUCGGGUAAUCGAUAUGAAAACAAGUCUACAUUAUAAUUAGGCCUAGAUAUCUACCUAGUCCGACUUCAUUUCAAGCAUUUUAUUUAUAUCCCUUAAGUUGUAGUAGUGACAGUUUAACUACAAUGUUCAUCAAUAGUGGUUUUGAUUUUUCACUUGGAUUGGUGGAAGAAGGUACCAUACAAUACUAUACUACUGUACUGUGUUAGAUUGUUCAGCGUAAAUUGGUUUCAAAGACCUUUCCAGUACGCCACGGUAUUCAGUAUAAUCUAAGGAAAUUAAAACAGAAGAAAAGUAUAGAAAAUAUUUCCAAUUAUCUAUCUUGAGAUCACAGAGAUUGAAUGCUGCAGGUCUUGUGUUUAGUGUAUAGACUAAUUGGUGGAUGUUAUUAACAUUAACCUUUUAGCAAAGGUUAGCUUGAUGAUGUUACUGCAGUGUAGUGGAAGAUGUUAACCUAACUUUGGUAGACAACAAGCCUAACCCUGAAGUCAACGAUGUACAAUAUGUCAGUGUCACGGUUCCACUACCAAACGUAACGCGAAUAUACAUGUAUUUACUUUGAUUGAAAUGAGGUCAACUUAAAAAUUUGUGUAGAUGUGUUAUUUGUUGUAACAGUUAUAUCCAUAAAAGUUAUAUCCAUAAAAUGUAAA